RNAcentral lists this ribosomal RNA (466 nucleotides) under uncultured bacterium. RNAcentral describes it as "SSU rRNA". It matches the Rfam family "Bacterial small subunit ribosomal RNA", at positions 26 to 518 of the family's 1533-position model. The record is from RNAcentral.
AGGAUUAACGCUGGCGGCGUGCCUGACACAUGCAAGUCGAACGAGGCCGCAAGGCCGAGUGGCGGACGGGUGAGUAACACGUGACCAACCAACCUCGAAGUUGGGAAUAGCUCUGCGAAAGUAGGGGUAAAUACCGAAUGUGGCCCAGGGCGGGCAUCCGCCUUGGUCUAAAGAUUCAUCGCUUCGAGACGGGGUCGCGGCCUAUUAGCUUGUUGGUGAGGUAACGGCUCACCAAGGCGAUGAUGGGUAGCUGGUCUGAGAGGACGACCAGCCACACUGGGACUGAGACACGGCCCAGACUCCUACGGGAGGCAGCAGUGAGGAAUCUUCCGCAAUGGGCGAAAGCCUGACGGAGCAACGCCGCGUGUGGGAUGAAGACUCUAGGGUUGUAAACCACUGUCGGAGGGGACGAUCGUGACGGUACCCUCCAAGAAACGCCCCGGACUAACUACGUGCCAGCAGCCGC